CAAAAUUAAAUAGCAAAGCCGGAGACAGCAGGUGCCGUUGGCUUAAUACCCUGCCGAGGUUUGCAUCCAGAUUGCUUGAAUUUCUACCCUUCUUUGGUGUGGUAGUUCUGGCAUCAGGAUAAGGGUAGUUGCAAAUCUACCUUUCAACCAAAACCCCGGCUAUGAGCCUGGGGUUUAUUGUUUUCGGU
Molecule: regulatory RNA element, 188 nt
Organism: Fischerella sp.
Lineage: Bacteria; Bacillati; Cyanobacteriota; Cyanophyceae; Nostocales; Hapalosiphonaceae
Rfam family: Ribosomal protein L10 leader
About the family: This family is a putative r-protein leader autoregulatory structure found in B. subtilis and other low-GC Gram-positive bacteria. It is located in the 5' untranslated regions of mRNAs encoding ribosomal proteins L10 and L12 (rplJ-rplL). A Rho-independent transcription terminator structure that is probably involved in regulation is included at the 3' end.
Source: Rfam